GAUGAACGCUAGCGAUAGGCUUAACACAUGCAAGUCGAGGGGCAGCAUGGUCUUAGCUUGCUAAGGCUGAUGGCGACCGGCGCACGGGUGCGUAACGCGUCUGCAACUUGCCUCACAGAGGGGGAUAACCCGUCGAAAGUCGGACUAAUACCGCGUACACUCUAUGUUGGGCGUCCAAUGUAGAGGAAAUGAAAUUCGCUGUACGAUCGGCAUGCGUCCCAUUAGCUAGUUGGUGAGGUUACGGCUCACCAAGGCGACGAUGGGUAGGGGAACUGAGCGGAUGAACCCCCACACGGGGACUGGGACACGGGCGAGAGUGCUACGGGAGGCAGCAGUGAGGAAGAUAGGACAGGGGACGAGAGCCUGAUCCGGCCAAGUCGCGUGAAGGAAGACUGUCUUAGGGAUUGUAAACUUCUUGUAGACGGGAAUAACAAGAGGCACGGGUGGCUCCGUGCAGGUACCGGAUGAAGAAGCAUCGGCUAACUCCGUG
This 490-nucleotide ribosomal RNA is filed under the name uncultured bacterium. RNAcentral describes it as "partial 16S ribosomal RNA". It matches the Rfam family "Bacterial small subunit ribosomal RNA", at positions 28 to 507 of the family's 1533-position model. The record is from RNAcentral.